RNAcentral lists this ribosomal RNA (340 nucleotides) under Furnestinia echeneis. RNAcentral describes it as "eukaryotic LSU rRNA". It matches the Rfam family "Eukaryotic large subunit ribosomal RNA", at positions 48 to 356 of the family's 3401-position model. The record is from RNAcentral. Lineage: Eukaryota; Metazoa; Platyhelminthes; Monogenea; Dactylogyridea; Diplectanidae.
AAGCGGAGGAAAAGAAACUAACCAGGAUUCUCUUAGUAACGGCGAGUGAACAGAGAUUAGCCCAGCACCGAAGCCCAUUCACGUUUGUGGACCAAGGCAAUGUGGUGUUAAGGUGUCUGCCUGGGGUCGUCGGUUUAUUCGAAGUCCAGCAUAGAUUAUGGCUCUGGACUUUGCCCAAAGCGGGUGAAAGGCCCGUUCGGAUAAACCUUGUAGCAUAUUGACGAUCUCCAGUUGCAUUCACUUUUGAGUCGGAUAGCUUGAGAAUGCUGUCCAAAGUGGGUGGUAAACUCCAUCCAAGGCUAAAUACCUGCACGAAUCCGAUAGUAGACAAGUACCGUGA